RNAcentral lists this ribosomal RNA (253 nucleotides) under uncultured bacterium. RNAcentral's name for it is "partial 16S ribosomal RNA". It matches the Rfam family "Bacterial small subunit ribosomal RNA", at positions 524 to 776 of the family's 1533-position model. The record is from RNAcentral.
UACAGAGGUCUCAAGCGUUGUUCGGAUUCAUUGGGCGUAAAGGGUGCGUAGGCGGCGCGGUAAGUCGGGUGUGAAAUCUCGGGGCUUAACUCCGAAACUGCAUUCGAUACUACCGUGCUUGAGGACUGGAGAGGAGACUGGAAUUUACGGUGUAGCGGUGAAAUUCGUAGAUAUUCGCAAGAACACCAGUGGCGAAGGCGGCUCACUGGUCCGGUACUGACGCUGAGGUGCGAAAGCGUGGGGAGCAAACAGG